UGGCCUCAAAUCAGGUAGGGCUACCCGCUGAACUUAAGCAUAUCAAUAAGCGGAGGAAAAGAAACUAACUAGGAUUCCCUUAGUAACGGCGAGUGAACCGGGAUGAGCUCAAAUUUGAAAUCUGGCGUCUUUCAGGCGUCCGAGUUGUAAUCUAUAGAGGCGUUUUCCGCGCCGGACCGCGUCCAAGUCUCUUGGAAUAGAGUAUCAAAGAGGGUGACAAUCCCGUACUUGACGCGACAACCGGUGCUCUGUGAUACGUUCUCAACGAGUCGAGUUGUUUGGGAAUGCAGCUCUAAAUGGGUGGUAAAUUCCAUCUAAGGCUAAAUAUUGGCGAGAGACCGAUAGCGAACAAGUACCGUGAGGGAAAGAUGAAAAGCACUUUGGAAAGAGAGUUAAACAGCACGUGAAAUUGUUAAAAGGGAAACGAUUGAAGUCAGUCGUGUGAAAGGUAUUCAGCCGUCUCUGGCGGUGUAUUUGCCUUUCACGGGUCAACAUCAGUUUAGUCCGGUAGAAAAAGGCUGGAGGAAGGUGGCACCCUCGGGUGUGUUAUAGCCUCCUGUCAUAUGUGCCGGAUUAGACUGAGGAACGCAGCUUGCAGCAAUGCCGGGGUUCGCCCACGUACAAGCUUAGGAUGUUGACAUAAUGGCUUUAAACAA
Molecule: ribosomal RNA, 656 nt
Filed under: Vishniacozyma tephrensis
Lineage: Eukaryota; Fungi; Basidiomycota; Tremellomycetes; Tremellales; Bulleribasidiaceae
Description: eukaryotic LSU rRNA
Rfam family: Eukaryotic large subunit ribosomal RNA
Source: RNAcentral